GUAGCAAAUGUCUGAUAUCGGUGAAUGACCUUGUGUGUUUGCACAAUUAUAACGUUCUAUUUUUACGAAAUCUGGUGAUGACGUAUGAGUAAUAUCGAUACACAAAUUACUAAUGCUAGGUGCAGUAACGUCUAUUUAUACCCUUAUCGUCACUGGAAUAGUAUUUUCUGAAAAUGUGAAAUUGUUAUGAAAUACUUGUGUAUAAAGAGAAAACCAAGAUACAUGGACAUUGUUAUAUUUACUGUACUUAUUUCCCACGGUCAAAAUGAAUCGUCGACAAAAUUAAUUUUUAGACGGUAGAAUUCAAUGGUUUCCCAAUCGUAAUAAGUAUUUCUUGUUACUGAGUACAUGACAAUAGCUAUACAAAUAUGGGGGAAUUGUGCAAUCGCUCGAAAGCAAUGGAAUCCCAAUGCAUUGUAUAAGGCUUCGAAAUCAUACAUCGCAAAUUGUGUGAAGAAGUAAACAAAGAAACCCCUAAUGUUGUAUUUUUCUAAUUUUGCAACAGAAUCAUGCAAUGAUAGCACGUCUCACGCAUUCACGAACUUCAUUGUACUUUUGCUUACUUGCUAUAAAUACAUGACGUCUUUGCGACCUUGUCAUGAAGGUGAAGGCGUUGUUUAUUGAAAAUCUGACCAAUGAAAACAAGCAUUUCUUUUGAACAAUUAUGUUAAUUUCAUACGCCAUUAUUCCUUCUUCGAUCAUUUUUUUCAUACUUUAACGAGCAAUUGUACAGAGCAAAAAUGUCAAACAUUGUAAUAAGCAAUUCAAGUUCAGACGAUGAGAACCCAGGUGCUUAUAGAAAUAGUAACGCCUCUCCAACAGGCAUUACAGAAACACAUAAAUUGGAAUCCUGCGAAUAUAAGAGGUACGUUUACACAACCGAAGAGGGUAUAGAAGUGCACAUUCAUGUAAGAUUUUGCAAAUGUUCCAGUGAAUACGUUGACCGAAGUUACAUGGUGCAAGACAAAAUGGAUUUUACAGCAAUGGACGGGAAGGAAAUCCAUUUUGAUCGUGCAUGUAAAUGGCGAAGAUUUCCAUCACAAUUUUGCGGCCAAACCGUGUAUAUUCUUAAUCAAUACUGCAGUGGAUGUACUACUCAAACAAGAAGCGAUACCGCGCAUGCAAUGAACAUGGUUACACCUUCAAACUGACGUUAUAAACUAGUAUGUUAAAUCAACUUCUACAAAUAUUUCCACCUGAAUACAUUUACAGAACUAUCAUUGUUGCUCAUGAUUCAUUGAACUUAUAAAGAGUGUAUUAUAGUUAUAAAUAAAGUUGUAUUCAGCUUUAUAAUAAUUGACUUGCUUCCUGGGAUAAAGUGUAACCUAAUAAUCAAUACUAAAAGUUUUUAACUUGAGUGUGUGUUGUUUAUAUACCAAAACGUGUCAAGUGUUUUGUUUUUAAAAUUCGCUGUAAAUUUCUUAAAUGUGUUAACAAAUAAAAUAUAUAAGAAAAUAAUAUUAAACGUGUUUCCUUUUUGUUGUUUUUUACAACAAUUCAGCUAAUUUGAAACCCAUCCUUUAUCUUACGAAAGAUAAAAAUGCAAACUAAGUUGACAAUUACUAUGAUAUAGAUACGAUUCAAAACGAGGCUCACGUUUACAGCUUUUUGUAAUCAAUUGCAACAUAUCUCUGUAAUCCCAGUGAGCGUGAGAGUUUGCUAAAAAUAGUAACAAAUAGAAAACCCCUACAGUUCAAAGAAGGUUGGUCUAUAAAAAAGGAUCAACAGCCGUGUUUUCUAACUGAUUCGUUAUUUUCAACGAUUGUUAUCAGUAAUAAUGAAUCAACCAAGAGGUAAUAUUUCAAGUGAAUCUGAUGAAGAUCAGGGCUAUAUUUACAGUUAUGGAGCACAACCAACUGGUCAGACGGAACACCACUCAGACAAACAUUGUAAAUAUGAGCGAUAUCGUGGUAAAAUUAAUGGAAGAGAGGUCAUCGGGCAUAUACGAAUAUGUAAAUGUGGAAACUAUUGCGAUAUGGGAUAUUUAGCACAAAGUACUAUUGAUGCAACUGAAAUGAACGGAAAGGAAAUUCAUUUUUCGACAAGUUGUAAAUGGAAGAGACACACGCAACAAAUUAAUGGGAGGAAAUUCUACACUCUACAUCGUUUAUGUGGUUGUAAAAACCUACAGACCAGCCAAAGUACGAGCGAAACGAACAGGGUUCCGCCAAGCUGGAAUUGAUUUGUUGCUACAAAACAAGGACAGUUCUACUACCUGGACAAGAAAGCAGAUGAAUAAAGAUAGAAGAUAAAAAAUUGUAUUAAUUUUAGUCAGUAGCAAUUGUCAAAUGUAUAUAUCACAAAAAAAUGCUAUUUGUAACUAUUGUCUUAUAAUUUUUCAUUGUCUAUCAGCAUUGCAUUGUCUUAUAGUAUUUUAUUGUCUUAAAAUAUAUUGUGGUAUGAAGAUGAUUGGAAUAAAAAAUAGUGAAGAGUUGAAAUGUUUAUUGUCCUGUUUUAAACAUAUUUUAGUGAUGCUAUUUAAAAAAAUUCGACAAGUAUGAAUUGGAAAAAAAGAAAGGUAAAUAAUUUACAGAAAUAUGAUAAAUAUUUUUGUAACAUUGCGUUAACUUCAAUAAAAGACAUGAAAACGUUGCAAUCGGUAAAAUGUCUGUGCAGGCUUUUUUAAUAUUAUAAAAGCAGAUUUAUCGACGUUGCUGUAUAGUUGCGUAAUUUCAUUGUACAAAAAAUUUAAAGCUUCAUACAGACAUAGAUAUCACAACUUGACCUUCAAACAUGUUUUAUGCCAUGCAGUGUUAACGAAAUAUCAGAUUUAGUAAAGUUAGCUAUUGAUAAUCUAUUUCUGGUUAUUAGCCCUGUUGGUAUCAAUAAAAGAUUUUUGAAUGAGAUCAAUUAAAUAAUGAAGAUGUACAGAAUAAUUUAAAAGUAUUCCCGUUAUGGUGUACUACUUAUUCCUUAAUUGAAAACGUUAACAUGUUACAUACAUUAUAAAAUGAUUAUCCUAUGAUCAGAUAUCGAAACAGGAAAAAUAUUGGAAGAAUAUUUUAAAUUUCAUCAGUACCAUAUUAUAAUUUACUAAAUUCACAAUAGAGUUAUAUUAAUUGGCAUCUUAGCACUAUUAAUGUUUCAACAUUUACAGAACGUCCAUUUUACUAAUCACUUGGAUUUUCUUUAUCUAAAAAUUCAAAUACAUAGGCCAUCGGUCAAUUUAUUGACCAGAAUAUUUGAUUUGAUAAAUACAUCAGUUAUAUUCGAUAUUUAAAAUAACUACUGCUUGUUUAACAGAUAACAUGACAUGGGGAGUUAACCUGUACUUUAAAAAAACGAAGCCACACGAAUGAAAGAAAUAAAAAAUAAAUCCCAUUUUUAUAUAAAAAAAUCAAUUCUAAUAAUAAUCAUUUACACCCUUUCAACUAUGUACCGUAAUAACAGCCAGCUUUGCUGUUUUGGAAUUAAUAAAAAGCAAAAUGAAAAUUGGUAAUAAUAUGGUUUUCUUGAUAAAAUGUAAAAUAAUCUUGGUAAAUAAUAAAUACUUAUACAUGUAGCUUAUUUGGAUAUUUGUUAUUAAUGUACCAAAACUUGGUUUCUUUCAAAAAUAUAAUGUAUAUUUCUCAAACGUAGUAACGAAUAAUACAUGGGGAAAAUACGUUGGACGAGUUUUCUUGUUGUUUCAUUUCAAGGGAUUUUGAGACCUAUCCUUAAUCUAAUAAAAAUAACAACCGGCAAAAUCAGCUAUAUAUCAAUAUGACGUAGAUACCUUUCAAAACGAGGCUCUCAUUCUCGAUUUUUGUGUAGGAAACAGAUCUUUAUAAUUCAAGCGAAUUCUUACCACUUAUCAACGGAUAUAGCACCAUUACUUAAACGCCACUUGAAAUCCCCAUCAUUUCAAGGCAGGUCGUUCUAUAAAAAGGUUCAACAACAGUGUUUUCAGAUAAACCUUUCAACGAUUGUUCACAGAAAUUAUGAAUCGGGCACAAGCUAAUAGUUCAAGUGAGUCUGAUGAGGACCAGAAUAAUGGUCCUAAAACUGAAGCACAACCAACAAAUAUCUAAAUCGGUAUUUUGCGACCUUCAAUUGAAGGCACGUCAUUUUCUUUUGAACAGUUGACACAAAACUAAAUGUACAAUUAAAUGUACAAUAUCAAACAAUACGAUUAUGUGUGAUUUGUGUAUAACAAAGAGGUAUACAAUGAAUAGCAAAACUUUUAUUGUGAAUAAAAUAGAGAGAAAACGGAAUCUCUAAGGAAAUCCGAAUACGCCAAAAAUUGAAAAUGUUGCCGGCUCUAUUUAAUUUAGCAUGUUCAUGAACAGAAGCAGUGAUUUCAAGCUUCUAUCCACGCCCUCUAGCAACGACUUAAGCAUUUUACAUGAACUGAGAAAAUUUUGAAAUAAGAAACAUCCACAGAUUCGUUCAUAUGGCGGUUUACAAAGAAAAACGGUAUAUGGUACUAAAAUGAAAAUACGCGUGCCCUAAAUAAAAACAAAAACACACAAAAAACAAUGAGCGAAGUUUAAAAAAAGAAUUUUGAAUGAGAUGACGCCUGCACAUCACAAAUUGUCAAAGGACUAACAACAAAGGGUCAAUAAAAAGUAUUUAAUUGGGGUAUACUAGGACCACCCGACAGAAAAAGAUAAAUUGAAAAGAACUAAAGGUACCAAAAACCUCACAACAAUUACUCAUGCUGAAUAUAUUCCAGGAUCGAAAAUAUAACAACAUUAAUCAAUGAAUACAAACAUAUAUGUUUAAUAUGUAUAAUAUAUCAAUGAAAUGAUGAAACCUAAGCCAAAUAUGAGUCCAUUGUUGAAUUUAAAAGAAUACUUGAAAGGACGCCAAAAAUUGAAUGUUACUAGAAAGAAGAUUUAUUUUUAUAUAUAACCGUCAUGUAAUUAUGUGGAAGGCUUGUUAUGAUAUCACUAUGACAUUAAACAAACAUGAUAUUUAAUCACUCAUAAAUUAUGUUAAGAUUCAUAAGUGUAAAACUCUUCUAAAGUGACUUCAAGCGUAUACCGGACUAUAUGAUUUAAUUGCCAGAAAUAAAUCCAUUAAUUAGGGAACCCACGAAUUAACGCCUAAUCGAUACCAACCACGUCAGCCAACCUUAAGCUUAAGCUUAUAAAAGCUGUAAAUGUCUCAAAAGGCAGCAUUUGCAUUCUUUGUCAUGCUUACGAAAAAUUCAUUUUGAAUUAGCAUCUGACAAUAUAACUUUAAUAUGAAUAUACCCCAAAGUUCAACAUCUAGCUGCAGUUCAAGUGAUUGUGGUGAGGGCUACGAAUGCGAGUAUAAAGAAGAGCACCAUCUCAGAAAAAGAUGUAAAUAUGAACGGCAUCAUCUUACUAUCGAUGACGAAGCCGUCUUUUGUUGGUUAAGAAUAUGCAAAUGUGGCGCUUUUCCAAACAGAAGUUAUCUUAAAAGGCGUUUUCCGUACUAUUUUUACUUUGAAGAAGAGGACGGUAAAGACCGUCGUUGUUGUGAAGGUUGUAAGUGGAGAAGAUGGCCACAAGGCAAGGUUUACAUUCUGUACACUGAAUGUAACCAUGACAUUGAUAAUCAACACUGCAAUGCAGUGUCAAGUGAUAUGAACAGAGUCGGAUUCUCGUAUGAUUGAAGGGAAAUCAACACAAGAUUUGAAUUUUUUGAUUCUCAUCAGACAGUUUAUCAAACUAUUUCGUGCAUGUUUCCGAACUUUAGUUAGUCUCUAUACUAAUAACUUAAGUGAAAAAUGUGAAAAACAUAUGAAGAUUGGAAGAAAUCACAUCAAAUUUGAAUAUACUCUAUAUAUAAUAACCUUACUAGAUAUCAGUAAAUCGUUAUUACAACCUGCUGUUGCCUGACAAAGUCGAUACAAAAAUGCAUAUUCAUUCAUCUACAGUCAUUGUAUUUCCAUAUUAUUUAUCUAAAGAUUAAUUAUAAGUUAAGAAUCGUUUUAAUUGUUUUGCAAGAUUACUUCAAAUAUGUUUUUAAAUAAAUGCCUGUUAUGUAUGGGAACAACCUAAGUGAUCGUUAACCAAAAAAUAUUUUUUUCAUUUUGUCUUUUUGUGUUCGUGUGUUUUUCUGAAAAGUCUUGUUACCCUCCGAAUAUAAAUCUUUAAAGUGUUGAAAAUUGAGUACCGCUCAGGUCGGUGCUAGGGGUCGUGAGGGCUGUUGCUCUUUUUCAUUAUACCUCAUGUACAGACCCAAUCAAAUUCAAUUUUCAUGUAAUAUUGUUAUUAUUAGUGCUUCCGAAAUUCACAUUUUAUCCAGAUAUUUGAAAUUAAAAAAAUGAUUUGAUCAAUUCUGUUCACGAGCAAAAAUAUAUACAUUGUAGAUAUAACAUUAAACUUUUUUAUCAUGAUAUAACUUGACAAAUUCAUUUGUUAAACAUGAUAAAACUUGACAAAUUCGUUCAAAGUUUAAAAGUAGAUGACGUAAAAAAACGGGUCUUAUACAGCUAUAACUUUGAGCAGACACGUUUGCACGACCAAAGACAAUGGCAGAUAUCAAUGAAGAGAGAGAAAUGUUUAAAAAUCAACCACAUUUAUUACAGUGUGAAAGUUAUAGAGACGGGAAUACAUUAGGAAUUCUUUGUUAUUGCCGUGGAAGGGGACGAAAAAUCAAUGGCAGGAUAUUACAUUCGUCAGGAGCCUGUCAUUUACGUCGUCUGGGAGAUAAUUUUACUGUUGUAUGCCAUUGUGCUUCUUCCAACCCCGUAACAAUAAGAGGUGGGGGGAGGAACACUUAGAAAAGGAGUACAACAGAUGACAGAUUUUACUCAUUGUAUAUAUCUUAAACUUAUAUUAUCAAUAUCAAUUUGUUUGAUACCCGGAGUAAAUAACCAGGUCACUUAAAGGAUGAGUAUAUAUGAGACAUUUUACGAAAUACAUUGUCAAUGAAAAUUAACAAAUUUAAGGAAUGCAGUUAAAAAUAACUAAUUGCGGCCCCGCAAUCGGGUAGCACUAUAUUUGAAGGAAAAUGAUUUGAAUGUUUGCUUUUAUUUUUUCAGAAAUUUCAAUCUGUGAUAGAUAAUAAAAUGUUGUAUUUCCAGUGUUUACCUUUAUGCUAGUGAUUAAUCAAUACUGUUAUCUACGCUUGUUUAUGGACGCUUGCCAAAAAGUCUAGUUUGCUCUAUCACGGGAUCGUCUCGUGACGGUGAUACAAUAUCCUGAAACAGAUAAUCAUUAUAUUUGUAUUUAAAUAUGUAUUUUAAUGUUUUCUAAACUAAAAGACAAUGUAAUAUUUAAAGAAAUAAAUACAAAAUAUUUUUUUUUCAAAUCAAAAUAUAUUAAAUGACUAGUAAUGCUUUAAAAUCACAUUUAUAAUACUAUGUAUGUAAUAGUGAUUUAAGCUAUAGGGUUUAACAUUUUAUUUCUUUACUUGAGAUGUAAAAGUUGUUUAUAAGCGAUUCUCGUGUUUAAACACUUCAUACUGCUUAAUAGUUUGAAUCAUGGCCGAAGCAGAAAGGCAUACAAACGAAAAUUGUUUUUAUGAAAAAAUAAAAGUCACUCUAAAUGGCAAAACAUGUUUUCGUCUUUGCCGUCGAUGUGAAUGUGGAAUUUACAAGUCAUUUGAUAGUUCUGAUCAAUCUGUUACUGAAAGUGACGGUCAUAGUGUGCAUUUUAAUGAAAAUUGUGAUUAUAGGCGAACUGAACAUCCUGGCAACAAAUUUGUUCUUACGGAAAAUUGUCUGUGCAAAACGCAUUGAAAUAUAGAAGGAUUUGUGUCAAUCGAAGGCGAGCAGACGGAAAAAACAGAUAACCGUUUUGGAGACAGAAAACAUUAUACAGACAUAAAUCAUUUAAGUGAACAAAUUUGGAUACAGAUCGUUUAUAACUUGUAGAUGUCAAGACAAAUACCACCAAACAUAAAAAAGUGAAUAAAAAAGGACGUUUGUCAAAAUGUUAAACAUUUUUACAUUAAAGUUUUGCAUUGUUUAUUAUGCAAGUGUUUUAUUUUUUCUAUAUAAUAUGAAAUAAAACAAUAUGAUUUAAAUA
This is a long non-coding RNA of Ruditapes philippinarum (Manila clam), 7925 nucleotides long. RefSeq lists it as uncharacterized. Lineage: Eukaryota; Metazoa; Mollusca; Bivalvia; Venerida; Veneridae. The transcript has 6 exons. The record is from RefSeq and is a predicted model, not a curated record.